Molecule: long non-coding RNA, 457 nt
Organism: Brassica oleracea var. oleracea
Lineage: Eukaryota; Viridiplantae; Streptophyta; Magnoliopsida; Brassicales; Brassicaceae
Exons: 3
Source: RefSeq, a predicted model, not a curated record
UUUGUGUCUAACAGGGUGGUGAUUUGAUCAAGUGGGACAAGGCAAGGAUCGGGUUCUACGUUGGAAUCGAUAUAGCUGAAGGGUCGAUUGAAGAUUGUCGAACGCGUUAUAAUGGUGAUGCAGACCAGCACCAACGUCGUAAGAAGUUCAGCUUUCCUCCCGUUUAUUAUGUGGGGAUUGUUUUGAGGUAGAACUAGACAAGAUUAUCGAAGAUGAUGCCCCUAUUGUUAUCUGCAGUUACCAGGUUUUAAAUGUUUCAUUUAGCUGUUUCUGCUCAAGAUAACAUGGUUGGUCACAGUAGGUUGUUCCAAAUUAGUUAUUACAGACUGAUAGAUAUGUUGAAGUUUGUUUUAUUCGAGUAGCGUUUGGUGGAAUGAGGUGAAUGGUAUAGUUAAAGAUACUAAAGUAUUGUUUAAAUUGUAGUUUGCUAUGCAAUACUAGUGGACUACUGAGGCAC